Molecule: non-coding RNA, 152 nt
Organism: Camellia sinensis
Lineage: Eukaryota; Viridiplantae; Streptophyta; Magnoliopsida; Ericales; Theaceae
Source: RefSeq, a predicted model, not a curated record
UACAAUCUUCAAUCGAGUCUGACCACUACACCUGCAACAUUCAGAUUGAAGGACAUCCUGCUGCAACAGAAGAGCAUCCUUUACACGCACCUUCGUCUAGUUGCUCCUCAUUUUCAUCCUCUAACCUUGAUACAGAGGAUGAGUUUAAUGGC